GGGGAAUAUUGGACAAUGGGGGCAACCCUGAUCCAGCCAUGCCGCGUGUGUGAAGAAGGCCUUUUGGUUGUAAAGCACUUUAAGCAGGGAGGAGAGGCUAAUGGUUAAUACCCAUUAGAUUAGACGUUACCUGCAGAAUAAGCACCGGCUAACUCUGUGCCAGCAGCCGCGGUAAUACAGAGGGUGCGAGCGUUAAUCGGAAUUACUGGGCGUAAAGCGAGUGUAGGUGGCUCAUUAAGUCACAUGUGAAAUCCCCGGGCUUAACCUGGGAACUGCGUGUGAUACUGGUGGUGCUAGAAUAUGUGAGAGGGAAGUAGAAUUCCAGGUGUAGCGGUGAAAUGCGUAGAGAUCUGGAGGAAUACCGAUGGCGAAGGCAGCUUCCUGGCAUAAUAUUGACACUGAGAUUCGAAAGCGUGGGUAGCAAACAGGAUUAGAUACCCUGGUAGUCCACGCCGUAAACGAUGUCUACUAGCCGUUGGGGUCCUUGAGACUUUAGUGGCGCAGCUAACGCGAUAAGUAGACCGCCUGGGGAGUACGGCCGCAAGGUUA
This 549-nucleotide ribosomal RNA is filed under the name uncultured bacterium. RNAcentral's name for it is "bacterial SSU rRNA". It matches the Rfam family "Bacterial small subunit ribosomal RNA", at positions 356 to 896 of the family's 1533-position model. The record is from RNAcentral.